UGCGCAUCCGAUGCGUGAACAUAUCGUAAUGUUCUUGCGAGUAAUCUGCAUAAUUAUUCCCGGGUAACGUUCAAUCUUGUUUUUGUUUUCCGGGCGCGACGUCCACUUGACGUCUUUUGUGGAGCGGCUCAGUCGCUUUUUUGCUGCACACGUGAAGUGAUCCCUUAGUAUUUCCUGUGAAUGUAGGAGGUUCGGAUGCGGACCGCUGCAUGGAAUACGAAGAUGCGAAAGUUUAUUGAUCUCAUAGCACUGGAUGAGGGAGAACGGCAACAAUGAGGAGCUCAUACAUCCUUUGCUCAACGGUGAUUCUUCUGCUGCUUUGGAUGAAAACAGAAAUAGCAUUAGAGGCGAGCAAAAUCAAAACUGGGGUCGAGAUUUUGAUGAAGUUCUACAAACCAUGCGUGACUGGAUGGAAUAGCACCAAUUGUUUUCGGGAAAAAACUGUGCAUCAACCAGACCCCGUACACACGACCAACCGUACUUCACCUCAAACAGGUAACACGAUGCCAUCUGAGGACCCACCCCAACAAGACAACGUAACUUCUACCAAAAGGAGCCAGACUAAUUUUGCCGUGGGCGCAAAUUUAAACUUCACGCUCAUUGGUUUGGUUCGCAAGAUUGUACGAUAUAUUCUCAACGGUUGCGACCUCCGGCAAAACUACGAAUCCUCCAUGGCAAGAUCAAGCGAACCUGCCGAUGAUCAACGGAAAGACGAAAAAAAUUCUGCUAUCAAGGGCAAGAAAGUUCAGAAGAUGCUUCAGAAUACUCAGAGGACAAUAAUUACACCGAGGAAGAUAUGCAAUUCGAGCCAGAUCAAGGUCACGAAGGUAGUGAUAUGGGUUACGCGGGAGAGGAGGAGGAACUUGAACUGGAGGAACCGGAAGAGGAAACAGAGGAAGAAGACGAUGAUGACGAUCUUGGCGGUGGCGGUGGUGGAUACAUGCGCCCUAUCGCAAUGA
RNAcentral lists this long non-coding RNA (959 nucleotides) under Bemisia tabaci. Its description in RNAcentral is "lncRNA ENSSSA3NGG010172". Lineage: Eukaryota; Metazoa; Arthropoda; Insecta; Hemiptera; Aleyrodidae. The record is from RNAcentral.